This 407-nucleotide ribosomal RNA is filed under the name uncultured microorganism. Its description in RNAcentral is "bacterial SSU rRNA". It matches the Rfam family "Bacterial small subunit ribosomal RNA", at positions 9 to 419 of the family's 1533-position model. The record is from RNAcentral.
GAGUUUGAUCGUGGCUCAGAUUGAACGCUGGCGGCAUGCCUUACACAUGCAAGUCGAACGGUAACAGGUCUUCGGAUGCUGACGAGUGGCGAACGGGUGAGUAAUACAUCGGAACGUGCCCGAUCGUGGGGGGAUAACGGAGCGAAAGCUUUGCUAAUACCGCAUACGAUCUACGGAUGAAAGCAGGGGACCGCAAGGCCUUGCGCGGACGGAGCGGCCGAUGGCAGAUUAGGUAGUUGGUGGGAUAAAAGCUUACCAAGCCGACGAUCUGUAGCUGGUCUGAGAGGACGACCAGCCACACUGGGACUGAGACACGGCCCAGACUCCUACGGGAGGCAGCAGUGGGGAAUUUUGGACGAUGGGCGAAAGCCUGAUCCAGCCAUGCCGCGUGCAGGAUGAAGGCCUUC